RNAcentral lists this ribosomal RNA (774 nucleotides) under uncultured Neocallimastigales. Its description in RNAcentral is "partial large subunit ribosomal RNA". It matches the Rfam family "Eukaryotic large subunit ribosomal RNA", at positions 23 to 645 of the family's 3401-position model. Lineage: Eukaryota; Fungi; Neocallimastigomycota; Neocallimastigomycetes; Neocallimastigales. The record is from RNAcentral.
AGAGAGAGACAUGCGCGCAUAUCAAUAAGCGGAGGAAAAGAAACUAACUAGGAUUCCCUCAGUAACGGCGAGUGAAGCGGGAAGAGCUCAAAUUUGAAAUCUUCAAGGUUCUACCUUGACGAAUUGUAGUUUAAAGAAGUGUUUUCUGUUGGAGUUUUGGUAAAAGUUCUUUGGAAUAGGACAUCAUAGAGGGUGAGAAUCCCGUAUUUGACCAUUAUUUCCAGCUUUGUGAUACACUUUCAAAGAGUCGGAUUGUUUGGGAAUGCAGUCCAAAAUGGGUGGUAAAUUUCAUCUAAAGCUAAAUAUUGGCGAGAGACCGAUAGCGAACAAGUACCGUGAGGGAAAGAUGAAAAGAACUUUGAAAAGAGAGUUAAACAGUACGUGAAAUUGUCAAAAGGGAAGCGUUUGACACCAGUGUUGUUUUCUCGAAAAUCAAUUAAAAAAGGCAGGAUUUUGUGUUGUAUUGACUUUAUCAGCUUUCUGCACUCUUUUCUUGUCUUUUUUAAUGCACUUUUCGUUUAACAAGUCAACAUCAAUUUCUUUUGUUGUAAAAGGGUCAUUGGAAGGUGGCUUUCUUUUCGGAGAAAGUGUUUAUAGCCUUUGGCCUCUGCAAUCGGAGAGAUUGAGGUCUGCAGCGUAGAUCCUUCGGGGUUAGAUACAUUUGUGCUAAGUUAUAGCCUUUUCAUAGACAACUUGUUGACUAUGAUCAGUCAUGUAGCUUACUCGCUUAUGCUAUUUUACCUACGCUUAGGAUGUUGAUGUGAUACUGCGAGC